Molecule: ribosomal RNA, 433 nt
Filed under: uncultured bacterium
Lineage: Bacteria
Description: partial 16S ribosomal RNA
Rfam family: Bacterial small subunit ribosomal RNA
Source: RNAcentral
AACGAACGCUGGCGGCAUGCCUAACACAUGCAAGUCGAACGAGACCUUCGGGUCUAGUGGCGCACGGGUGCGUAACGUGUGGGAACCUGCCCUUAGGUUCGGAAUAACUCCCCGAAAGGGGUGCUAAUACCGGAUAAUGUCUUCGGACCAAAGAUUUAACGCCAUGGGAUAGGCCCACGCUCGCUUAGCUAGUUGGUAGGGUAAACGCCUACCAAGGCGACGAUCCAUAGCUGGUCUGAAAGGAUGAUCAGCCACACUGGGACUGAGACACGGCCCAGACUCCUACGGGAGGCAGCAGCAGGGAAUAUUGGACAGUGAGCAAAAGCCUGAUCCAGCAAUGCCACAUGAGUGAUGAAGGCCUUAGGGUUGUAAAGCUGUUUUACCCGGGAUGAUAAUGACAGUACCGGGAGAAUGAGCUCCGGCGAACUCCGUG